Ixodes scapularis (black-legged tick) is the source of this 72-nucleotide non-coding RNA. Lineage: Eukaryota; Metazoa; Arthropoda; Arachnida; Ixodida; Ixodidae. The record is from Rfam.
UCCGGCGUGGUCUAGAGGUUAGGAUAUCUGGCUUUCACCCAGAAGGCCCGGGUUCGAUUCCCGGCGUCGGAA